AAGUUAAGCCCGACAGCGCCGAUGGUACUGCGACCGGGAGGUCGUGGGAGAGUAGGACGCCGCCGGAC
Molecule: ribosomal RNA, 68 nt
Filed under: Kribbella antiqua
Lineage: Bacteria; Bacillati; Actinomycetota; Actinomycetes; Propionibacteriales; Kribbellaceae
Source: RNAcentral